Paramuricea clavata is the source of this 73-nucleotide non-coding RNA. Lineage: Eukaryota; Metazoa; Cnidaria; Anthozoa; Malacalcyonacea; Plexauridae. The record is from the annotation of a GenBank genome assembly.
GACCACGUAGCUCAGUUGGCAGAGCAUUGGGCUAGUAUUCCAAAGGUCGUAGGUUCGAUUCCCACCGUGGCCG